GUCUACAGCCAGGUCACCCUGAAUAAGCCUGAUGUCUGUUCUCGAAAGCUAAGCAGGGUCGGGCCUGUUUAGUACUUGGAUGGGAGACCACCUAGGAAGACCAGGUGCUGUAGGCA
This 116-nucleotide ribosomal RNA is filed under the name Pteropus alecto (black flying fox). Lineage: Eukaryota; Metazoa; Chordata; Mammalia; Chiroptera; Pteropodidae. The record is from RNAcentral.